UACAGAGGGUGCAAGCGUUAAUCGGAAUUACUGGGCGUAAAGCGUGCGUAGACGGUUACAUAAGUCAGAUGUGAAAGCCCCGGGCUCAACCUGGGAAUUGCAUUUGAAACUGGCGGGCUUGAGUAUGGCAGAGGGGGGUGGAAUUCCGCGUGUAGCAGUGAAAUGCGUAGAGAUGCGGAGGAACACCGAUGGCGAAGGCAGCCCCCUGGGCCAAUACUGACGCUCAGGCACGAAAGCGUGGGGAGCAAACAGG
This 253-nucleotide ribosomal RNA is filed under the name uncultured bacterium. Its description in RNAcentral is "partial 16S ribosomal RNA". It matches the Rfam family "Bacterial small subunit ribosomal RNA", at positions 524 to 776 of the family's 1533-position model. The record is from RNAcentral.